RNAcentral lists this transfer RNA (63 nucleotides) under Protobothrops himalayanus. RNAcentral's name for it is "tRNA-Met". Lineage: Eukaryota; Metazoa; Chordata; Lepidosauria; Squamata; Viperidae. The record is from RNAcentral.
AGUAAAGUCAGCUAAAAAAGCUACCGGGCCCAUACCCCGAAAAUGUCCAUAGGGCCUUUACUA